AUUGAACGCUGGCGGCAGGCCUAACACAUGCAAGUCGAACGGUAACAGGGAGCAGGCUCCUGGAUUCAGGAGCAGACGCGGGAGGAAGGCCUAUGAAUCGGACACGUAGUGAGGGAGAACGUCCGCAACCGGAAACGAAUACCGCAUACGCAUAGCGUCGCAAAGCGAGAGAGCUUGGGAUCACACGCUAUCACCAGAGCCUAGGUCGGAUUAGCUAGUGGGUGGGGUAACGGCAUACCUAGGCGACGAUCCGUAACUGGUCUGAGAGGAUGAGCAGUCACACUGGAACUGAGACACGGUCCAGACUCCUACGGGAGGCAGCAGUGGGGAAUAUUGGACAAUGGGCGCAAGCCUGAUCCAGCCAUGCCGCGUGUGUGAAGAAGGUCUUCGGAUUGUAAAGCACUUUAAGUUGGGAGGAAGGGCAGUAAGUUAAUACCUUGCUUUAUUGACGUUACCCACAGAAGAAGCACCGGCUAACUUCGUG
RNAcentral lists this ribosomal RNA (484 nucleotides) under uncultured bacterium. RNAcentral's name for it is "partial 16S ribosomal RNA". It matches the Rfam family "Bacterial small subunit ribosomal RNA", at positions 30 to 507 of the family's 1533-position model. The record is from RNAcentral.